RNAcentral lists this ribosomal RNA (253 nucleotides) under uncultured bacterium. Its description in RNAcentral is "partial 16S ribosomal RNA". It matches the Rfam family "Bacterial small subunit ribosomal RNA", at positions 524 to 776 of the family's 1533-position model. The record is from RNAcentral.
UACGUAGGGUGCGAGCGUUAAUCGGAAUUACUGGGCGUAAAGCGUGCGCAGGCGGCGCGUUAAGACAGGUGUGAAAGCCCCGAGCUUAACUUGGGAAUUGCGCUUGUGACUGGCGUGCUGGAGUGUGGCAGAGGGAGGUGGAAUUCCACGUGUAGCAGUGAAAUGCGUAGAGAUGUGGAGGAACACCAGUGGCGAAAGCGACUUUCUGGUCCUUAACUGACGCUGAGGCGCGAAAGCAUGGGGAGCGAACGGG